RNAcentral lists this ribosomal RNA (256 nucleotides) under uncultured bacterium. Its description in RNAcentral is "partial 16S ribosomal RNA". It matches the Rfam family "Bacterial small subunit ribosomal RNA", at positions 524 to 780 of the family's 1533-position model. The record is from RNAcentral.
UACGUGAGUGCGAGCGUUAAUCGGAAUUACUGGGCGUAAAGCGUGCGCAGGCGGUUAUGUAAGACAGAUGUGAAAUGCCCGGGCUUAACCUGGGAACUGCAUUUGUGACUGCAUGGCUAGAGUUUGGCAGAGGGGGGUAGAAUUCCACGUGUAGCAGUGAAAUGCGUAGAUAUGUGGAGGAACACCGAUGGCGAAGGCAGCCCCCUGGGUCAAGACUGACGCUCAUGCACGAAAGCGUGGGGAGCAAACAGGAUUA